GUUUACCAACUUCUAUGCUGUUUAGUUUCUAUAAGAGGGUAAAGGAUUUAAGUGGACCUUGUGCUGCAUCAAGUGCAAUAUGAAGUCGCUCUUCCCAGCUCAAACUGUAGUCUUGUCCUGUUUCAAAGUGCAACAAAUUGACACUCAUAAGUACCAUUGGGCAUGCUACAUAUAAAGGUAAUAUAUUGUACUCCCUCCGUUUUAGGUUAUAAGACGUUUUGACUUUGGUCAAAGUCAAACUACUUUAAGUCUGAUACUCCGAUCAAGUUUAUAGAAAAAAAGUAGUAACAUUUUCAACCCAAGACAAAUUUAUUAUGGAAAUAUAUUCAAUUAUUGAUUUGAUGAAACUAAUUUAGUAUUAUAAAUAUUACUAUAUUUAUCUAUAAACUUAGUCAAACUUGAAACAGUUUGACUUUGACCAAAGUCAAAACGUUUUAUAACCUGAAACGGAGGGAGUACGUACUAUCUUUAGAAUUUUGAGUCAUUUAGGGUGAACGACAUUAAUUUUACUGUACUGAAUGCAAACCUCCUCUUAAAACUUCUUGUAAGUUUCCUCUAGACAUGAAAUCGUACACAAGGGCAAGGCAUUUCUUGUUUAGGCAAUAUCCUAAAAAUGUGACGAGAUUCUUGUGAUGAACUUUUGACAAUGUUUGCACCUGAAACAUCAGCAGAUGUCAUACAAACAGGCUUUCAUUGAAAGCGAUAAAAAUAGUGUACAUCCAAAUAAUGUGUGGAACUAUGACUUCUAGAUAUAGCUAGCAUCUAGUAGCUUGAUUUUUAUUCAAGACCACAAAUAACAUCUUUACAUUCUAGGGGGAGUGUUCUGACUUAAGUAGUCUGAUAGUUCACCUCAGGGAGGAAGUCCUUUGAUAGGGCUCUAGAUGUCUCCCGAAGCACCUUGACUGCGACUUCCUCUCCAUUCCCCAAUAUGCCAUGAUAAACUGUACCAAAUCCUCCAUUUCCAAUGAUAGACUGGAAGUUGUUCGUUAUAGUCCUCAACUCUGUAUAUGUGAAUCUUCUGGUGUCGCUAUGCAGGGGAUUUUCCUCUUCAUACAUAUCAUAAUCAUCAUGUUCUUUUGGUUUUCCUGCAAAGUUGCACAAGAUUCAAUCUGCUUUUCUCUACAGUAUACACGCAAACAUCUGGAUUUAACCCACUGUUUUGUUUCACCUUUACAGCAGAGCAUCCAUAGAAAUAACAUAAGUGUAAUAGCUACAACAGGAACUAUCACUGCAAUGAGCAAUGUUGCUGUAUUCUUCUUCGCCUUAUCUGCUUGCAUGGCACAGUAGCUUUCACUUAUAUUUGAGCACAUGGGAUUUCCUUCUAAUCUAAUGACAGAAAUAAUCAAUUUAUAAGAUAAAGUGAAAUCUGCCAAAUAUAGUAGUAUAGCACAAUGCGAGAACAGCAACCAAACCUUAGUUCAAGCAAACCAGCUUUAUAUCUUUUGAAAAGAUAGUCAGGAACCGAUCCAAUGAGCUGGUUAUAUGAUAGAUUUCUACAGAUGAGAACACAAAAUUUGAAAUAAUUGAUCUAUAGGCUCAGGUUUAGCAUGGUUCUGAACUUCUAAUAAGCACAUACUUACAGAGAUUUCAGUGAGUUUACUUGAUUAUAUGGAAUAGUGCCUGACAAGUUGUUGUGUGAUAGAUCCCUGUAAUUUUGUAUAAAUAGCAAUUUCACCAUGUUUUGCAAAUUAAGUUUGUUUGUGAUUUUAAAAUUUGAAUUGCACUUACAAUAUUUCCAGCGACAUGUUUCUGAACGAUGGAUUUAUCCAACCACUCAGUCUGCUUGCAGAUAAAUUCCUGCAAAAUCAUCUCAGUUCCUGUUAGUAAAAAAACUUUUAUAUUCUCAAGACUGCAAAUAUCACUUCAUGUUUUAAAUUGUACAUGCAUGUGCCUUCUUCAUUAAAAAUCCAAACGAAUGGAGAAUAACCUUUUGGAUGCUGUCUCCAGCAAUUAAGUAAAUUGCUAUAUGUCUUCUUUAACAUUUUUUAACUGCAGGUUAUCCAAUACAAGCUAUCCAAAUUUCAAUGGUGCUGAACUGCUGCAUUUCGAAACAUGAAUUACAAGACUUGCUUAUUGAUAUUCUUACACUAGGAUGAUCCUGGGAUUCUGUUUGCCAUCAUAGUAGUUGCAUUUCACACCUUCCCAGGUAUACUCUUUUGGAGAACAUGGAUCUCCAUUCCAACUUCUUCGUUGCACAUUGUACUGCGUCUUUACUUGUUUCAUGGAACUGACUGCAUAACAACAAACAUAAUAGAUGAAGAAUAGGCGCGCAUCAGUACUCCAUAAUGAAGAUUUUUUUAAGGGAAAAAUAAUUUUCCAAUCCUAACUGUUUCAAGGAAAAACUUAACUUUCAAAUCCAGACUGACUGUUCGUUUUUCAACCAUUAUUUUUAACUCAGAAUCCAGUCCGAUUUUUUGUAUGUGUCAAUGGUUCUUUUGUGUGACGAUGACAGAACAUGUCAUUGCGUCACAGAUCAAUCAUGAAAAGCCUCUUUCUUGCCAGGUUCCACAUGUCAGUAUGUUACUGAGAGGAGAGCAUCUUCCUCCUAAUCCCCACAAACCCACCUAUUUUGGGUGAGCAUGUACUGGCUGAAAGUCCCAACUUUCGUUGGGCCGAAAUUCAACAAUACUCAAGUUCAGUCCAAAGGGAUAUGGGGCAGGAACAGGCCUGUGCAAUAUGCUACAAAUAGCUCUAUGGAAUUAAACUGGGCCAGCAGGUUACUGCACAAGCACGCCCGAUUGCUGAAUUAUUUUUAUUUAUUUAUUUAUUUAGGGGGGGGGUGUUGGAGAUCAUGUGGGAAAAAAAACAAGGGUGAAGAAUAAAAACAUAAAUUUUCAUUUCCACAUACUCCAUUUUUUAGGAAACGAACUAUGAAUAUAUGGCCCAUCUGUAUACACCUGAAUACUACUAAUAGCAUAAUGUUGUAAAUGAUAUAAUGGAAUACAAAUACUCUUAUCUUAACUGUAUUGCUAAGCAAGAACUGAAAACCAUGAUGUAACGCAGGUUUACCAUCGAUGGUGUCAGUGGUGAGGUUUUCCAUCCGAACAAGCGAGUAAGCCUCAAAGGCGUUGAUGAGUGGUGGGAGCUCCGAGCUGUUUGUCUUGCACAGGGUGAAAGUUGUACCUGACUCAUGUAGGUACCGGUCCCUCAGG
RNAcentral lists this long non-coding RNA (3152 nucleotides) under Oryza sativa (Asian cultivated rice). Its description in RNAcentral is "long non-coding RNA (OSAT_LNC001655)". Lineage: Eukaryota; Viridiplantae; Streptophyta; Magnoliopsida; Poales; Poaceae. The record is from RNAcentral.